UUCAAUGAUGAACCCCAGAUAGGGACAACUUAUGCCAAUGGCAUGUGAUGAGAUCCUUGGGCCGAGAAUUUUAGUAGAUGCCUCGUGGUCUGAUA
This 95-nucleotide small nucleolar RNA is filed under the name Sporothrix schenckii ATCC 58251. RNAcentral's name for it is "A. fumigatus snoRNA Afu_335". It matches the Rfam family "A. fumigatus snoRNA Afu_335". The record is from Rfam by way of RNAcentral. Lineage: Eukaryota; Fungi; Ascomycota; Sordariomycetes; Ophiostomatales; Ophiostomataceae.